This 531-nucleotide long non-coding RNA is filed under the name Cavia porcellus (domestic guinea pig). Its description in RNAcentral is "lncRNA (ENSCPOG00000033296.1)". Lineage: Eukaryota; Metazoa; Chordata; Mammalia; Rodentia; Caviidae. The record is from RNAcentral.
CUGGGACGCUGCCUUCCGGUGAGCUCCCCGCCCAGUGUUCGUGUUUACGCAUGCGCACUUCCUCCGGCCUGUCCUCGCUUCCGGUGCGUCCUAAGUACCCGCAGCUCUGGUCGCCGGGCUCUGGCCUCCGGUAGGGGAGACUGCGGGGCCGGGACACCGGCAGGGGAAGCACCACGCGGGCGCAAGCUGUGCGGACUAGGGUCCGCGCGGCUGGGCGGAGGCUUGAGUGGAAACCGAGCGCGGGCGCUGAGCCCCGAAGCCGUGGUGGAGGCCGAAGGGGCAGGGCGUGCGGCGGCGGCGGCACCUGGCGCGGCUCGCUGCGGCCUCGGCGAUCUGUCUCUGCUUUCAGACUUCAACAUUUUUCCAAGAGCAGUAGAAAAUGAAAAAAUCCCUGUGACAUCUCCACACUUCCUCUUCUCUCAAGUAUUUGAAGGUCAUGUGGCUGUUUUCGCCUAUUGUACAGCAACUGGAUUGACAGGUACAAGUGGAUAGACCGCACAGGGAGGGAUACACCACUGGAGUAAGCAAAAG